This 87-nucleotide transfer RNA is filed under the name Candidatus Woykebacteria bacterium RIFCSPHIGHO2_01_FULL_43_29. RNAcentral's name for it is "tRNA-Leu". It matches the Rfam family "tRNA". Rfam says of the family: Transfer RNA (tRNA) molecules are approximately 80 nucleotides in length. Their secondary structure includes four short double-helical elements and three loops (D, anti-codon, and T loops). Further hydrogen bonds mediate the characteristic L-shaped molecular structure. tRNAs have two regions of fundamental functional importance: the anti-codon, which is responsible for specific mRNA codon recognition, and the 3' end, to which the tRNAs corresponding amino acid is attached (by aminoacyl-tRNA synthetases). tRNAs cope with the degeneracy of the genetic code in two manners: having more than one tRNA (with a specific anti-codon) for a particular amino acid; and 'wobble' base-pairing, i.e. permitting non-standard base-pairing at the 3rd anti-codon position. The record is from RNAcentral. Lineage: Bacteria; Candidatus Woykeibacteriota. RNAcentral also lists the same sequence under 2 other names.
GCGGAUGUGGCGGAAUGGCAGACGCAACGGACUUAAAAUCCGUCGACCUCAAAAGUCAUGGGAGUUCGACUCUCCCCAUCCGCACCA